Molecule: ribosomal RNA, 459 nt
Filed under: uncultured bacterium
Lineage: Bacteria
Description: bacterial SSU rRNA
Rfam family: Bacterial small subunit ribosomal RNA
Source: RNAcentral
AACGAACGCUGGCGGCGCGCUUAACACAUGCAAGUCGAACGCAUGCUUGAUCUUCGGGUUGGGCAUGAGUGGCGGACGGGUGAGUAACGCGUGGGAACCUGCCCUGAGGUUCGGGACAACCGUGGGAAACUGCGGCUAAUACCGGAUAUCUCCUUUGGGAGAAAGACUUGUCGCCUUGGGAGGGGCCCGCGUCGGAUUAGCUUGUUGGUGGGGUAACGGCCUACCAAGGCAUCGAUCCGUAGCUGGUCUGAGAGGAUGAUCAGCCACACUGGGACUGAGACACGGCCCAGACUCCUACGGGAGGCAGCAGUGGGGAAUCUUGGACAAUGGGGGCAACCCUGAUCCAGCGACGCCGCGUGGGUGACGAAGGCCUCGGUUGUAAGCCUUUCUUCGGGAGAGUGAUGACGGUACCCGAGGAAGUAAGCACCGGCUAACUCCGUGCCAGCAGCCGCGGUAAGU